Molecule: ribosomal RNA, 120 nt
Filed under: Helianthus annuus (common sunflower)
Lineage: Eukaryota; Viridiplantae; Streptophyta; Magnoliopsida; Asterales; Asteraceae
Source: RNAcentral
GGUUGCGAUCAUACCAGCACUAAUGCACCGGAUCCCAUCAGGACUCCGCAGUUAAGCGUGCUUGGGCGAGAGUAGUACUAGGAUGGGUGAACCCCUGGGAAGUCCUCGUGUUGCAACCCC